GAUGAACGCUGGCGGCGUGCUUAACACAUGCAAGUCGAGCGGAAAGGCCCAAACUUGCUUGGGCACUCGAUUGGCGAACGGGUGAGUAACACGUGGGUGAUCCGCCCUUCACUUCGGGAUAUGCCUGGGAAACUGCGUCUAAUACCGGAUAGGAUCUCUUCAAGGACGUGGUUCAGGAAUGAAUUUUCGUUGUGGGGUCAGUUCGCGGCGUAUCCGCUUUGUGGUGGGGUAAUGGUAUACCAACGCGUUGCCGGGUAGCCGGCCUGUGAGGGUGUACGGCGACAUUGGGACUGAGGUGCGGCACAGACUCCUACGGGAGGGAGAAGUGGGGAAGAUUGACGAAUGGGCGCAAGCCGGAUGAAGAGAGGCCGCGUGGGGGAAGACGGCGUUAGGGUUGUAAACUACUUUCGCUAGGGACGAAGCGUUUUGUGACGGUACCUAGAGAAGAAGCACCGGCUAACUACGUG
Molecule: ribosomal RNA, 467 nt
Filed under: uncultured bacterium
Lineage: Bacteria
Description: partial 16S ribosomal RNA
Rfam family: Bacterial small subunit ribosomal RNA
Source: RNAcentral